This 100-nucleotide ribosomal RNA is filed under the name Salvator merianae (Argentine black and white tegu). The record is from RNAcentral. Lineage: Eukaryota; Metazoa; Chordata; Lepidosauria; Squamata; Teiidae.
AUCGGCAUUUAGGCUGCAUAGGACUAAUUUUGGAAGCUAAGCAGGGUUGGAACUGGUACUUGGAUGGGAGACUACCUGGGAAUACCAGGUGCUACAGUUA